Molecule: ribosomal RNA, 407 nt
Filed under: uncultured Actinomycetales bacterium
Lineage: Bacteria; Bacillati; Actinomycetota; Actinomycetes; Actinomycetales
Description: partial 16S ribosomal RNA
Rfam family: Bacterial small subunit ribosomal RNA
Source: RNAcentral
UGGGGAAUAUUGCGCAAUGGGCGAAAGCCUGACGCAGCGACGCCGCGUGAGGGAUGACGGCCUUCGGGUUGUAAACCUCUUUCAGCGCCGAAGAAGCGAAAGUGACGGUAGGCGCAGAAGAAGCACCGGCUAACUACGUGCCAGCAGCCGCGGUAAUACGUAGGGUGCAAGCGUUGUCCGGAUUUAUUGGGCGUAAAGAGCUCGUAGGCGGUUUGUCGCGUCGGAUGUGAAAACCCGGGGCUUAACUCCGGGCCUGCAUUCGAUACGGGCAGACUAGAGUGUGGUAGGGGAGACUGGAACUCCUGGUGUAGCGGUGAAAUGCGCAGAUAUCAGGAAGAACACCGGUGGCGAAGGCGGGUCUCUGGGCCACUACUGACGCUGAGGAGCGAAAGCGUGGGGAGCAAACA